UGAGGAAUAUUGGUCAAUGGUCGAGAGACUGAACCAGCCAAGUCGCGUGAAGGAAGACGGUCCUAUGGAUUGUAAACUUCUUUUUUUAGGGAAUAAAGUGUGGGACGUGUCCUAUAUUGUAUGUACCUAACGAAUAAGCAUCGGCUAACUCCGUGCCAGCAGCCGCGGUAAUACGGAGGAUGCGAGCGUUAUCCGGAUUUAUUGGGUUUAAAGGGUGCGUAGGCGGGCUUUUAAGUCAGCGGUGAAAGGUUUGGGCUCAACCCGGACACUGCCGUUGAAACUGAUAGUCUUGAGUGCAAAUGAGGUAGGCGGAAUGUGUUGUGUAGCGGUGAAAUGCAUAGAUAUAACACAGAACUCCGAUUGCGAAGGCAGCUUACUGGGAUGCAACUGACGCUGAUGC
RNAcentral lists this ribosomal RNA (400 nucleotides) under uncultured bacterium. Its description in RNAcentral is "bacterial SSU rRNA". It matches the Rfam family "Bacterial small subunit ribosomal RNA", at positions 355 to 752 of the family's 1533-position model. The record is from RNAcentral.